UGGGGAAUAUUGCACAAUGGGGGAAACCCUGAUGCAGCGACGCCGCGUGAGCGAAGAAGGCUUUCGAGUCGUAAAGCUCUGUCCUAUGAGAAGAUAAUGACGGUAUCAUAGGAGGAAGCCCUGGCUAAAUACGUGCCAGCAGCCGCGGUAAUACGUAUGGGGCGAGCGUUGUCCGGAAUUAUUGGGCGUAAAGGGUACUUAGGUGGUUUUUUAAGUCAGGUGUCAAAGCGUGGAGCUUAACUCCAUUAAGCACUUGAAACUGAAAGACUUGAGUGAAGGAGAGGAAAGUGGAAUUCCUAGUGUAGCGGUGAAAUGCGUAGAUAUUAGGAGGAAUACCGGUGGCGAAGGCGACUUUCUGGACUUUUACUGACGCUCAGGUACGAAAGCGUGGGGAGCAAACAGG
This 403-nucleotide ribosomal RNA is filed under the name Verrucomicrobiota bacterium. RNAcentral describes it as "Verrucomicrobia bacterium partial 16S ribosomal RNA". It matches the Rfam family "Bacterial small subunit ribosomal RNA", at positions 355 to 776 of the family's 1533-position model. Lineage: Bacteria; Pseudomonadati; Verrucomicrobiota. The record is from RNAcentral.